UGGUCAAGUUAUUAAGGGUGCAGGGCGGAUGCCUUGGCACUAGGAGCCGAUGAAGGACGUGAUAAGCUGCGAUAAGCUUCGGGGAGUUGCACGUAAACUUUGAUCCGAAGAUUUCCGAAUGAGGAAACUCACUUAGAGUAAUGUCUAAGUAUCAUUAAGUGAAUACAUAGCUUAAUGAGGGGAACUCAGGGAACUGAAACAGCUAAGUACCUGAAGGAAGAGAAAGAAAUUCGAUUCCGUAAGUAGCGGCGAGCGAACGCGGAUUAGCCCAAACCAAUAAAGUUUUCUUUAUUGGGGUUG
This 300-nucleotide ribosomal RNA is filed under the name Clostridioides difficile. RNAcentral's name for it is "partial 23S ribosomal RNA". It matches the Rfam family "Bacterial large subunit ribosomal RNA", at positions 1 to 300 of the family's 2925-position model. The record is from RNAcentral. Lineage: Bacteria; Bacillati; Bacillota; Clostridia; Peptostreptococcales; Peptostreptococcaceae.